CCCUUAGAUGUUCUGGGCCGCACGCGCGCUACACUGAAGGGAUCAAAACGUUUUCCCUCUCCGAGAGGAGCGGGUAACCUUUCGAACCCCCUUCGUGGUAGGGAUCGGGGCUUGCAAUUAUUCCCCGUGAACCAGGAAUUCCCAGUAAGCGUCAGUCAUAAGCUGGCGUUGAAUACGUCCCUGCCCUUUGUACACACCGCCCGUCGCUCCUACCGAUUGAGUGGUCCGGUGAGGCUUUGGGAUCUGAGCGGAAAGAGCGUUUCGCCGUUUCUGCUCGGAAAACUCAGUCGAACCUUAUCAUUUAGAGGAAGGAGAAGUCGUAACA
This 325-nucleotide ribosomal RNA is filed under the name uncultured eukaryote. RNAcentral describes it as "partial 18S ribosomal RNA". It matches the Rfam family "Eukaryotic small subunit ribosomal RNA", at positions 1470 to 1796 of the family's 1831-position model. The record is from RNAcentral.